RNAcentral lists this unclassified non-coding RNA (539 nucleotides) under Hevea brasiliensis (rubber tree). Lineage: Eukaryota; Viridiplantae; Streptophyta; Magnoliopsida; Malpighiales; Euphorbiaceae. The record is from RNAcentral.
CUAUGUCUUUUUCCAGCAAUGCGAGGACAGAGAAGCACUUGCACUGAUGAGUUUUUGAAAAAACUGCGCGUUUCCUCAUCAUGGGUUGCCAUGAUUCCAUCUGUUUUAUAUCCAAAGAUACUCCUUGAAGUAGGGUCAUCCCAGACAAGAAGCAGCACUCUUACUCCUUCCUGGGACUUGGACCUCAGCAGAUCCCCCAAUGUGAUAUUUGAUGGAUCACCAGCAUCUCGAAUCAGUUUAACAUUGUGCCAUACUGACCACCCUGUAAUGUAAAUUAAACGCCUGGCAUGUCGUAUCGCAUCAAAGAUGUCACGCCAACAUUUCCCAUGCACAUAAGACAACCCAUGAUCAAGUUUCAAACUUGGCAGACACCCAUCUGGAACAUGGGCAUCUUGAUAAAGAGUCACAGUUCCACCUUUCCUAAGAGGAAAAUAUGUGCCUGGUACUCCUUGAUAAUCAGGACCUGCACCCACGCCUUGAUGGUAAAUGCUCAGUUUCUCCAUCGGGGUGUAUUGAAUUGAAAUUUUCAAUACAGCUCC